UACGUAGGUGGCAAGCGUUAUCCGGAAUUAUUGGGCGUAAAGAGGGAGCAGGCGGCAGCAAAGGCCUGUGGUGAAAGACUGAAGCUUAACUUCAGUAAGCCAUAGAAACCGGGCAGCUAGAGUGCAGGAGAGGAUCGUGGAAUUCCAUGUGUAGCGGUGAAAUGCGUAGAUAUAUGGAGGAACACCAGUGGCGAAGGCGACGAUCUGGCCUGCAACUGACGCUCAGUCCCGAAAGCGUGGGGAGCAAACAGG
Molecule: ribosomal RNA, 252 nt
Filed under: uncultured bacterium
Lineage: Bacteria
Description: partial 16S ribosomal RNA
Rfam family: Bacterial small subunit ribosomal RNA
Source: RNAcentral